CCUGUCCCUAGCUCUGUGGUGGUCCACGGCGGCCCAGAGCCACCUCCUCCUGUCCGCAAACCUCCCCUCCCUGCCCAGGCUGCCUGGCGCUGGCCAAGCCACCUGUGGCUAUCACAGAGCAUUGGCUGGCCAGCCAGUGAGAGCAGAGGCUGCCACGGCCACUGACCUGUGAUGUCCCCACAAUGGACCUUUGAGGAAAAAACCCAGGAGGUGCCAGAGUGUCCCCAACACUGGCCACUCCUGAUGGACUCAGGCCUUUGCCUGUGAGUCGAACACUGAGGUGGGGGGAGGGGACUGGGAAUCCUGGCCUUUGCCCCAGGCCUUUGCAGGCCCCGCCCUGCCCCUCCACAUGGCUGAGCAGAGCUGGCCCCACUGGCCCUGCCUGAGGACCACCAGAAAGCUGCCAGUAGCCCCAAGUUGCUCAAAGCCACCCUGAGAUGGAAAGGGGUUUGAAAUCCUCCUUCUACACGGGAGGCAGGGAGCAGGGGCUUCCUGGCCAAGGUCAGCAGCCAGUAAGGCUCGGAGGCUCCUCUGACCCUCGGGCUCUCAGCACCAACAGGUUGGCGAGCGGCGGGCACCCAGGAGGCCCCAAGGACCCGCCCCGCUCCGGGAGAAGGCGGACGAGGCCCUGGGCUUAGACUUCUGGGCUGCUCCCGUACACAGCGGGUGCUCACUAAGUGCAGGUCGCCAAGGACCGCGGGCCGUGUCUCCCCUCAUCAGAAAACAACCAGGCACUUUCCGACCUCAGGGCCUCUGCUCAGUGGCUCCUCCGCUGGAUCACUGCCCCCGGAUUCUUGCCUCGGCCUCGGACCGCACCUCCUCCGUCUGGUUCAGGCUUCAUGAUUGCUUUAUUAGAAAGUUCUUUGCUUGCUGGGUGUGGUGCACGCCUGUGAUCCCAGCACUCUGGGAGGCUGAGGCAGGAGGAUCACAAGUUCAAGCCCAUCCUGGGCAAUUUAGCAACUUAGCAAGACCCUGUCUCAAAAUUAGAUAAAGGGCUGGGGAUGCAGCUCAGUGUGAGCCCUGGGUUCAAUCCCAGUACCGCAAAAAAACAAAAAUUUUGGCCGGGGAUGGAGCUCAGUGGUUUCACCGCCUGCUGCGCAAGCGCAAGGACCCGAGUUCGAUCCCCG
This 1127-nucleotide long non-coding RNA is filed under the name Heterocephalus glaber (naked mole-rat). Its description in RNAcentral is "lncRNA (ENSHGLG00100050983.1)". Lineage: Eukaryota; Metazoa; Chordata; Mammalia; Rodentia; Bathyergidae. The record is from RNAcentral.